GGUGUGCAAAAUGAAUUUGUCUGGAAAAGGCCAGAAAUCCUCCCCUCAACCCCAGUCUGGGCUAGAGAGCUGGGAAACCUGGUAGCCAGAGACCUGGCCGUGCAGAGCAGGGCAGCCCCUCCACCAGCACCCUGGGCUUUUCAGGGCCCUUCUCUUGGAAGCCUUCCUGCUCACUUCCGCAGUUCUUCUUGAAAGGGACACACCUUCCUGGCCUGGCCUUGCUCUGCCUUGUGGUUCUGGGCCUCUGCUUGCUGCCAGCAGCCUCAGCAGGAAGCCUGCCACCAAGUUGUAGGUGCUACUGUGACACUAACCUGACUUCCCUGGGCAGAUGACCUCACCAAUGUGUCCUGGAAACCCACCUCUCCAAAGACCUGCCCCACCAGGGAAAGAUAGAAAUAGGCUGGGAGUAUGGAUUGACUUUCCAAUGCCCAUGUUCAGUGGAGAAGCAAUUACAGAAGCCAUAUCUCCCGCCUUCUGCACCCCAUAAUGAUCCUGGGUCCAUGCUCUCAGAGGGAUAAAGAACAGGAAAGCUUCCAAUGGAGAGGAUGGGAUAUGGAACUCUGGUGUUGGUAAUUGUGUGGAAUUGUACCUCUCUUAUCCUAUAGUCUUGUCGAUCAUUAUUAAAUCAAUAAAAAUAAUAAA
This is a long non-coding RNA of Erinaceus europaeus (western European hedgehog), 642 nucleotides long. RefSeq lists it as uncharacterized. The transcript is spliced from 2 exons. The record is from RefSeq and is a predicted model, not a curated record. NCBI's taxonomy places the organism in Eukaryota, Metazoa, Chordata, Mammalia, Eulipotyphla, Erinaceidae.